ACACGCACACUACCGUUGGAGGGUUUCGACAUACACACUUCAUAGCUUGGUAACCGUACAAAUGUUUUCUAUCUAUGUGAAAGCAACAACUCUCCAAAGAAUUGUACAGGAAGUGUGAAUCUAAAUAUAUCAAAAUGUUGUUCCUAUGUACUCUUGGUUAAAAGAGACAUUUGCCAUGGCAAUACUCUAAACUUCUCUUCAGUCUAUACUGGACGGCAUCCCACCGGGUAUGACUGCAAUAGCCUCUAGAAUUUAAACUCAAAUUGCAAAACCAAACUCAUAAGCAGAAACAACAAUGUCGGACAAUAUCUGUCAUGCUUGAAACUGUUGCAGAAUGUCACCCCUCACCUGCAAAUGAGUUGAAGCUAAGCAUAUUUACACUAUAAAGAAGCUACCCAGAAAGAAUAAUUGUUAAACAUAUAUGAUGCUUCUACCAUUCCAUGUAUACUCCAGCAGUCCAAUCCUUUUGAUAUGCUCAAGCAAUCACAGAGUACACGUGCAUAUAAGAUUAUAAGUCAAAGAUCAGUAUGUAAAUAAGAAUCUUUAAUCAACGACACUAAACACAAUUUGUCAUGUAAUGACAUGAUACACUUCUAAAUGUACGAAGCAUACAUAAAGAGGUAUUGGAAGCAACUUAACAUAUGACAAAUAGUAAGAGAAGCAAGUUUGUUAUUAUUAACUAAACCAACCUUUUACCUGCACCGGAUCCUCUUUAUUCUUCAACCAAGUUACCCUUCUUUCUUUUGCUUCAUUGACAUUCUAUCUACCCCUCUAUUUCAAGGCCUUUCUCUGCACUUUUUAUUACAGUUAGUAGUUCUCUUUGAUUUUCUCCAUAGCUAAUUCUUAUGGGUUUACUGUUUUGACAUCACUUGUUGGAUGAAGCACAUGAUAGUGCGUUUAUUUACUGGGUAAAAAUGAAAAGACAAGUCUUUAUGCUUAUCAAAAAAUAACGAAUAGACAAUUCUUUAUCUGGAGACACUUAGCGGAAGAAAAAUCCUUUCAUCACUGUUUCCUAAUACCACUUAGUUCAGCCCAAUCUCUGCCGUGCAAACUCCAAACACCCGCAAAUUCAUAAAACCCUGCAAACAUCGGUACCACUAUUGAGCACUCGCAGAGUCCUAAAACAAGGGGGAAAACUGAACUCCAAGAAAAGGGUUACACAUAGAUAAAGCAAGAUCUAGAAUAUUUUAGAGCAAGGUCGAAAGGGAAGUGAAAACUUUUGUGUUGGCGGUUAAAGGCCUUACUACAGGAAUUCAAAAAAUAAAUAGAAGACAGACAGAUUGAACUCGCCGGGAGCCCUGAUCCCCAUCAUCUAUUGCUGAUGUAGCCCAUUUAACAGACAAAUCAGAAGAA
Molecule: long non-coding RNA, 1353 nt
Filed under: Nicotiana tabacum (common tobacco)
Lineage: Eukaryota; Viridiplantae; Streptophyta; Magnoliopsida; Solanales; Solanaceae
Description: long non-coding RNA (NTAB_LNC017738)
Source: RNAcentral